GAUGUGUAGGUUAGUCAGUUCCUGAAUCAGUUGAUUACAAUUUUCAGAUCAAUUCUCAUUUUCACUACGAUCAACUAGUUUGUGAUCCUGUGCAGUUGGACAUUACAGUGGUUUAAGGUUUAGAUUGUAGUCCAGCUAUGAUCGCCCGGCUAGUAGUGAUUGUGUCCAUGGUGGCUGUAUGCUUGGUGUUAGGCUGGUCCUACAAUGUAUCAGCCAAUCCUAUCUAUGUCCCCAGUAGAGACACUUGUCCCCCGGGGUAUAAGAGAGACUUUCUCAACAGAUGUAGAGAGAUCAUACCUUCCUUUGACAACUGGAACUACAACUGACUGUAGCAUCUUCAUGAGCUAUCUCAACAAUUAACACAUUGAAGAAGACCACUUUCUUCUACCAACUUCUCUUAUGUUGAAAACUUCAGCCAGCAUCACUUAAUCAUGCAUUUAAAUUGUUCACCAAAUUAUUUGUUUUCUGAAUACUUCUAAAGUAAAUAUUUCAUCCAGUACAAAUGUACUUGUGUAUUAGUAUGUACCCUUUUUCUUAGUAAUACCCUGUGUCCCAAAUUAGGUGGGGAGGUG
Macrosteles quadrilineatus (aster leafhopper) is the source of this 572-nucleotide long non-coding RNA. RefSeq lists it as uncharacterized. The transcript is spliced from 3 exons. NCBI's taxonomy places the organism in Eukaryota, Metazoa, Arthropoda, Insecta, Hemiptera, Cicadellidae. The record is from RefSeq and is a predicted model, not a curated record.